RNAcentral lists this ribosomal RNA (468 nucleotides) under uncultured bacterium. RNAcentral's name for it is "partial 16S ribosomal RNA". It matches the Rfam family "Bacterial small subunit ribosomal RNA", at positions 28 to 507 of the family's 1533-position model. The record is from RNAcentral.
GACGAACGCUGGCGGCGUGCUUAACACAUGCAAGUCGAACGGAAAGGCCCUGCUUUUGUGGGGUGCUCGAGUGGCGAACGGGUGAGUAACCCGUGAGUCUCCUGCCCUUGACUUUGGGAUAACUUCAGGAAACUGCUGCUAAUACCGGCUAGGAGCUCCUGCUGCAUGGUGGGCGUUGGACAGUUUCGGCGGUUGGGGAUGGACGCGCGGCUUAUCAGCUUGUUGGUGGGGUAGUGGCUUACCAAGGCUUUGACGGGUAGCCGGCCUGAGAGGGUGACCGGCCACAUGGGGACUGAGAUACGGCGCAGUGUCCUACGUGAGGCAGCAGUGGGGAAUAUUGCACAAUGGGCGGAAGCCUGAGGCGGCAACGCCGCGUGCGGGAUGACGGCCUUCGGGUUGUAAACCGCUGUCGCCUGUGACGAAGCGUGAGUGACGGUAAUGGGUAAAGAAGCACCGGCUAACUACGUG